GGGCAGGCCGCUCGAAUUUGACCCGAGUGGGCCGCGAUCGGCCGAGGAUUUGGGGUACUCUUUGACCCAGGCGGGGCGCGAUCCGCCUAGGAUUUGGGGUCCCCUGGCGCCGAACCCUGAGUUGCCAGAUUUAGCAAGUAAAAGUACAGUUCUUCUAAAUUUGAAUUUCAGACAGGACAGGUUUUAGGGUUCGUCUCCUGUAAUGUUGAGAAGGUGAGGGCGGCGCCUGGGCGGAUUCUUCUCCGUUCCAGAAUCCCUGAAUCCCUUUCUUUUCAAACCGCAUUACAGCCCGAGUUAAAUUCUUUAACCUACUCCUCUCUGCUUACCCUCAUAAGGUUUACGGCCGUAUCAGCCUACGGCUGUUUGAUUCCCCUUUUAGCCACAAGAAAGUUUUAUUCGAACUACUUGCUUUCCUUUAUCAAGAAAAUGGCAACGCACACACAUACAUGCACACACAAAUAAAAACACAAAGCUGUGUUUUUCAGGUUUUGUUCUAGAUCGUGUUUGUGGCUGUGUUCUUCAGGAUAUUUUCCCUGACCUUGAGGAUUUCCCUCAUCUACCUUUCUUUGGGAGAUACGACUAAAACCAACAAAAGCCAAGUUUGGUAAAUAAGAAGUUUAAACAAGUGCUUCUCUGUACAGCUCAUCCACUUCCUCAUCUGUAAACCGAUCCCCCAUGGUUGUCAGCAGCUCUCUCAAGUAAUCUUCCUGAAUGGUGCCUGGAGAAUAAAGAACAAGGGAUCAGAAUACAUACUAUUCUGAGGGUUAAUUACAAAGAAUAUCUAUACUCAACUAAGCAUGUUCUGUAUGUUACAAACUAUAAACAUGCAAAGAUAUAUGAACUACAGGGUGUCCACCUACUUAAAACAGCCUCAGCAGAGAAGUGCCUAGAAAAAUGCCUAGCUGCUUAGCAGCACUGCUCCGCUCUAUCAUUUGCUCUAUCAUUCUGCCUCCACAUUCAGCUUCUGAUCUCUUGAUAAGAGAGACUAAACCUAUGCCUAAACAAAGUAAUAAAAAGUAUGGUUAAAGAA
RNAcentral lists this non-coding RNA (1030 nucleotides) under Pan troglodytes (chimpanzee). Lineage: Eukaryota; Metazoa; Chordata; Mammalia; Primates; Hominidae. The record is from RNAcentral.